AGUGAACGCUGGCGGUAGGCCUAACACAUGCAAGUCGAACGGCAGCACAGUAAGAGCUUGCUCUUACGGGUGGCGAGUGGCGGACGGGUGAGGAAUACAUCGGAAUCUACUUUUUCGUGGGGGAUAACGUAGGGAAACUUACGCUAAUACCGCAUACGACCUACGGGUGAAAGCAGGGGAUCUUCGGACCUUGCGCGAUUGAAUGAGCCGAUGUCGGAUUAGCUAGUUGGCGGGGUAAGGGCCCACCAAGGCGACGAUCCGUAGCUGGUCUGAGAGGAUGAUCAGCCACACUGGAACUGAGACACGGUCCAGACUCCUACGGGAGGCAGCAGUGGGGAAUAUUGGACAAUGGGCGCAAGCCUGAUCCGGCCAUACCGCGUGGGUGAAGAAGGCCUUCGGGUUGUAAAGCCCUUUUGUUGGGAAAGAAAAGCAGCAGGUUAAUACCCCGCUGUUCUGACGGUACCCAAAGAAUAAGCACCGGCUAACUUCGUG
RNAcentral lists this ribosomal RNA (492 nucleotides) under uncultured bacterium. RNAcentral describes it as "partial 16S ribosomal RNA". It matches the Rfam family "Bacterial small subunit ribosomal RNA", at positions 29 to 507 of the family's 1533-position model. The record is from RNAcentral.